AGUGGGAUAGCUGGGUCAUAUGGUGGUUCCAUGCCUAGUUUUUUAAGGAAUCUCCGAACUGCUUUCCAGAGUGGUUGCACUAGUCUGCACUCCCAUCAACAAU
This 103-nucleotide microRNA precursor is filed under the name Marmota monax (woodchuck). The record is from RNAcentral. Lineage: Eukaryota; Metazoa; Chordata; Mammalia; Rodentia; Sciuridae.